ACGUGGCUAGGCAUAAAAAUCUAUACGCUGUACACGUUCUAAAUUGAUAAUGUGACGAGAAUGGUAAGAUGACCAGAUGAUAGAACAGUAGUUCUGAGCGAGGCUUAACCAACGCACGAUACACGAUACGAUCUAACGGUGUUGACGUCCUUAAAAAAAACUUACACGCUCUGUGUAAUGUAACCAAGAAGCUGGAGCGCACUACUGUUAGUGGCAACCUUGAUGAUUUGUUGCAGACGAGAGAAAGGGACCGUGCACGGUGUAAUUAUUUGAAUUGAAUUGAGAUACUAGCUCGAGAGAAACGAAUGACCGACCAUUUCUUCGAGUUAAGUAUAAAUAGACGACUGCACGUGCAGCAAGCUUGUGAAUGUCAUUCUGAGUAAGUUUAUGGCUGACAGAAUUAUCAAUAGCGUGAUACAAU
Molecule: unclassified non-coding RNA, 421 nt
Filed under: Bombus terrestris (buff-tailed bumblebee)
Lineage: Eukaryota; Metazoa; Arthropoda; Insecta; Hymenoptera; Apidae
Description: misc RNA ENSBTSG00005033774.1
Source: RNAcentral